UAGCCUGUAAGGAGUACAUAGUUUAUUAUUUCUCUACAAAUUCACAGGUCUUCAAUUAGAACUCAUUUCAAAAAUCAAGAUAUUCUAAAUUGUGUCUCCCCCUUUUUAAGAUUUAUUUAUUUAUUUGAAAGGCAGAGUUACAGAGAGGCAGAGACAGAGAGAAAGGGCUUCCAUCUGUUGGUUCACUCCCCAAAUGACCUCAAUAGCUGGAGCUGGGUGGAUCCUAAGCCAGGAGCUUCUUCCAGGUCUCCCACGCAGGUGUAGGGGCCCAAGGACUUGGGCCAUCUUCCACUGUUUUCCCAGGCCAUAGCAGAGAGCUGGAUCAGAAGUGGAACAGCUGGGACUUGAACCGGUGCCUAUAUGGGAUGCCGGGGCUGCAGGCGGCAGCUUUACCUGAUACGUCACAUGCUGGCCCCCAUUUUCUUUAAAAACUUUUAUGUAUUUAUUUCUUUUGAUCUGACAGAGAGAGAGCUCUCUCAUCUGUUGAUUCACUCCUCUAGGCCCUGAAAUAGUCAGGGUUAGUAUUGGUAGAAGCUGGGAUCUGGGAACUUAAUCCAGGACCCAAACAGCUGCUGUCCCCCAGGGUGUGCACUAGCAGGUAGCUGGCAGCUGGAAUAGAGCCAGGGGCUCUAACCCAGGUCCUCCAAUGUGGCAUGCAAUUGUCCCAAGCAGUGUCCCAGUAACUGUGCCUUUUUAAAGAUUUACUUAUUGGGCCGGCACCAUGGCUCAAUAGGCUAAUCCUCCACCUGCGGCGCCGGCACCCCGGGUUCUAGUCCUGGAUGGGGCUCCAGAUUCUGUCCCGGUUGCUCCUCUUCCAGUCCAGCUCUCUGCUGUGGCCCGGGAAGGCAGUGAAGGAUGGCCCAAGUGCUUGGGCCCUGCACCCGUAUGGGAGGCCAGGAGGAAACAUCUGGCUCCUGGCUUCAGAUCAGCGCAGCGCGCUGGCCAUAGCGGCCAUUUGUGGGGGUGAACCAAUGGAAGGAAGUCCUUUCUCUCUGUCUCUCUCUCACUGUCCACUCUGCCUGUCCAAAAAAAAAAAAAAAAAGGCUUUAUUCAUUUGGAAGGCAGAGUUACAUACACACACACACACACACACACACAGAGGUCUUCCAUCUGUUGGUUCACUCCCCAGUUGACUACAGUGGUUGGAGCUGCACCGAUCCGAAGCCAGAAGCUUCUUCUGGAUCUCUCAUGUGGGUGCAGGGGCCCAAGGACUUGGGCCGUAUUCAACUGCUUUCCCAGGCCAUAGCAGAGAUCUGGAUUGGAAAAGGAGCAGCUGGGACUUGAACCGGCACCCAUAUGGGAUGCCUGCACUGCAGACAGUGGCUUUACCUGCUGCACCACAGUGCCGGCCCCAUCAAUAGCUAUGCCUUAACACUUGCCCCUCCUUUCUGUUUUGCCAGAGGAAGAACUCUGCCUGUAUGUGGAAGAGUGGCUGCUCUAAUGCUGAGCCUUGUGCAGAGGUGGGGCGGGACAGCACAGCCCCCAGCACUGAGAGUAAGAACAGUCCAGAACCCAGUCUCUGAUCCCUGCUGCAUUGCUGCAUGCUUUCUCCCAUCUGCCUGGUCUCCUUCAGUCUGAAACAGCUCCUCAGGCUUUCCUUGCCUUUGGUGACCUCCUACUUUGGAAGAGUGCAGGCUAACCAUUUUGCAGAAUGUUCUUCAUUUCAGUCACUGUAUUUUGGAUUCGGCACGGGAACUCUGUUAAGCUGGCUCCUGACACGUUGCUGUAAUUCUCUGAGCACUUCUUUACUGUCUGCAACAAUGAGGUAUCCAGGAUCAUUUUGUGCUUCCUCUGUCUUACGUGUGAAAGCAACCAUGUCCCCAGAAGUGGAGCAACUUUUCCAGUUCCUUUCAGUAGAGAAUACUACCCAGGGGCCAGUGUGUGGCGCAGCAGCUGAAUAGGGACGCUGGAAAGAAGACCUUUAUGAAGAGGAGGAAAGAGCGGAAACUCUUCAAAGUGGCAGAAAGGAAGCAGAAGACAGAAAAGCCCCUGAAACAACAAAGAGAGCAGGUGUUUCAGAGAAUCAACCAGUAACUUCUGGAAGGCAGCGACCUGGAGCUUUGGGAAGAGACAAGAACGUGAGAUCUGGCGUGAGGACGUGUGGAGGCCGGAGCUGGUUGGGAACGCUGUGACGCUAUAAAUUCAGCUGCGGAACAGGUGUCAUGCUGAGGGAAAGUGGAGGACCAUGCGGAAGCUCAGAGUGAUUUGCUCAGACAGUGAAGACCGAAUGUGUGUAAAGUUGAUGAAAGGACAGUGAAGUAGUUUGAAGACUACAUUUUAUUUGAAACUUGCUGGUUUUAAAAUUAAAUUCCCCAAAUGGCCUCAGCCAGGAGCUCCACAGCGCCCCCCUCAGGCGUUUCUCAACAUCUCCACAUGGAGUUUGGCUCCCAUGUGCUCAUCUCAGCAUCCCCUCCUUCCUGUGGAGGAGGCACAGGUGCAUGUAAGGGGGGGGGGGGUUAAAGUGCAGGGCUGCAAGACACAGAAAUUGUGGGAAAACCAUUCAGCUAAUUUCCCCCUACCUCCCUGCCUAUUCCCCUAUCAUGCUAUUUGGAACACUUAUUCUGUGGAAUGAAUUUCUACCUGAUUCUAGAAUUGAACAGCAAGUCAAUUAAAUGUGUGUGUAUGCGCGUGUGUGUGUUUGAAAAUCAGAGUGACCGGGUGAAGAGGACAGAGAGAGAGAGAGAUUUUCCAUCUGCUGCUGGUUUACACUCCAAAUGGCCACAAUGACUGUGGGCUGGGCUGGGCAGAAGCCAGGAGCCUAGAAUUCCUCUAGGUCUCCCACACUUGGGCCAUCCUCCACUGCUUUCCCAGGUGCAUUAGCAGGGAGCUGGAUUGCAAGUGGAGCAGCUGAGACUCGAACCGACAGCCAUAUGGGAUGCUGGCUCUGCAGAUGGCAGCUUAACCCUCUGUGCCACAGCGCUGGCCCCAGACGUUUGAUUUCCAAAGCUCAUGGAAACAGGAGUCUGUAACGUGCCUCAGGCACCCAGUCCAGAAUCCCCCAAGGAUCACAUCACUUUCUUAGAGUCAGGAUUUUGAACACUGCUAGUGUGGUCUUUGCCUCUCCCAGGAACUGGUCGAGUGAGGACUGGUGGUACCUGAAGUAGCUAAGAGCAGAGGCCCAAAUUAAGUGAGCAUGCGAGGAUCGCAAACAUUACUCUCCCGUCUGCUGGUUUAAUAGCAGUCACCCUAGAGCAACUGCCCCUGCUCUCACCUUCCUUCUCUGCGUGGGAAGGGUGUGCGCUGGGGGCUAGAAGAAUCCUUGUGGUGUCUGGAGGGUGGGCUCUGCCUUCAGGACCCCCUGGCUCCAUGCUCCCCACAGCCAUGCCAGGGGGACACUAUUGCCAGCAAGGGCUGCCUCCUCUCCUGCAGGCCUUUGCUGGGGCAGGCGCCAGCUUAGGGCCGGCCCAGGUGGGGAAGGGUGAAGGCAGAAGACAUGGGAGAGGCCCCAAGGUCGCCUAAUCCAAUCGCUGGAUGUCACACAGGACUGAGCAAGGCCAGAGGGCUCAGGAACUCCCCAAGGGCGCACAGUGGGGACCGUUCAGGGAUGUCCUGCAAGAAGGGAUCCUUCUCUCUCCUUCCAGGGGCUCAGACAUGCUGAUGGGCAAGGCCAGCCUCCACUCCCCAGUCCCUAAGCAGCCCCACUGCGAGCCA
Oryctolagus cuniculus (rabbit) is the source of this 3651-nucleotide non-coding RNA. The record is from RefSeq and is a predicted model, not a curated record. Lineage: Eukaryota; Metazoa; Chordata; Mammalia; Lagomorpha; Leporidae.